Molecule: non-coding RNA, 352 nt
Organism: Phalacrocorax carbo (great cormorant)
Lineage: Eukaryota; Metazoa; Chordata; Aves; Suliformes; Phalacrocoracidae
Source: RefSeq, a predicted model, not a curated record
UUUCUCUCCUCUUCCCUCAUGUAGUCAGGCUACUUUUCCAGUAUGUUCAGUGGAGCUUGGAAAGAAUCUAGCAUGAACAUCAUAGAGUUGGAGAUUCCUGACCCAAACAUUGAUACAGAAGCUCUACAGGUGGCUUUUGGCUCGCUGUACAGAGAUGAUGUAUUAAUAAAACCCAGUCGAGUAGUUGCCCUUUUAGCAGCAGCCUGCAUGCUGCAGCUUGAUGACUUAAUCCAGCAAUGUGGUGAAACAAUGAAGGAAACCAUUAAUGCAGAAACUGUGUGUGGUUAUUACAAUUCAGCGGCAACAUAUGGGUUAGACUCUGUGAAGAAAAAGUAAGAAUUACUUUCUCUGA